RNAcentral lists this ribosomal RNA (405 nucleotides) under uncultured bacterium. RNAcentral describes it as "partial 16S ribosomal RNA". It matches the Rfam family "Bacterial small subunit ribosomal RNA", at positions 30 to 526 of the family's 1533-position model. The record is from RNAcentral.
AUUGAACGCUAGCGGGAUGCCUUACACAUGCAAGUCGAACGAGUGGCGGACGGGUGAGUAAUAUAUCGGAACGUGCCCAAUAGCGGGGGAUAACUACUCGAAAGAGUGGCUAAUACCGCCUACUAUUGGAUCUGGCGAUAUCGGAUUAGCUAGUUGGGGGGGUAAAGGCUCACCAAGGCAACGAUCCCUAGCAGAUUUGAGAGGACGACCGGCCACACUGGGACUGAGACACGGCCCAGACUCCUACGGGAGGCAGCAGUGGGGAAUCUUGGACAAUGGGGGAAAGCCUGAGCCAGCCAUGCCGCGUGUAUGAGAAGGCCUUCGGGUUGUAAAGUACUUUUGGCAGAGAAGCGGUAUCUGAAGAAUAAGCACCGGCUAACUACGUGCCAGCAGCCGCGGUAAUUC